GACGAACGCUGGCGGCGUGCUUAACACAUGCAAGUCGAACGGAAAGGCCCUGCUUUUGUGGGGUGCUCGAGUGGCGAACGGGUGAGUAACACGUGAGUAACCUGCCCUUGACUUUGGGAUAACUUCAGGAAACUGGGGCUAAUACCGGAUAGGAGCUCCUGCUGCAUGGUGGGGGUUGGAAAGUUUCGGCGGUUGGGGAUGGACUCGCGGCUUAUCAGCUUGUUGGUGGGGUAGUGGCUUACCAAGGCUUUGACGGGUAGCCGGCCUGAGAGGGUGACCGGCCACAUUGGGACUGAGAUACGGCCCAGACUCCUACGGGAGGCAGCAGUGGGGAAUAUUGCACAAUGGGCGGAAGCCUGAUGCAGCAACGCCGCGUGCGGGAUGACGGCCUUCGGGUUGUAAACCGCUUUCGCCUGUGACGAAGCGUGAGUGACGGUAAUGGGUAAAGAAGCACCGGCUAACUACGUGCCAGCAGCCGCGGUGAUACGUAGGGUGCGAGCGUUGUCCGGAUUUAUUGGGCGUAAAGGGUUCGUAGGUGGUUGAUCGCGUCGGAAGUGUAAUCUUGGGGCUUAACCCUGAGCGUGCUUUCGAUACGGGUUGACUUGAUGAAUGUAGGGGAGAAUGGAAUUCCUGGUGGAGCGGUGGAAUGCGCAGAUAUCAGGAGGAACACCAGUGGCGAAGGCGGUUCUCUGGGCCUUUCCUGACGCUGAGGAGCGAAAGCGUGGGGAGCGAACAGGCUUAGAUACCCUGGUAGUCCACGCUGUAAACGGUGGGUACUAGGUGUGGGGUCCAUUCCACGGGUUCCGUGCCGUAGCUAACGCUUUAAGUACCCCGCCUGGGGAGUACGGCCGCAAGGCUAAAACUCAAAGGAAUUGACGGGGCCCCGCACAAGCGGCGGAGCAUGCGGAUUAAUUCGAUGCAACGCGUAGAACCUUACCUGGGUUUGACAUGGAUCGGGAGUGCUCAGAGAUGGGUGUGCCUCUUUUGGGGUCGGUUCACAGGUGGUGCAUGCCUGUCGUCAGCUCGUGUCGUGAGAUGUUGGGUUAAGUCCCGCAACGAGCGCAACCCUUGUUCACUGUUGCCAGCACGUUAUGGUGGGGACUCAGUGGAGACCGCCGGGGUCAACUCGGAGGAAGGUGGGGAUGACGUCAAGUCAUCAUGCCCCUUAUGUCCAGGGCUUCACGCAUGCUACAAUGGCUGGUACAGAGAGUGGCGAGCCUGUGAGGGUGAGCGAAUCUCGGAAAGCCGGUCUCAGUUCGGAUUGGGGUCUGCAACUCGACCUCAUGAAGUCGGAGUCGCUAGUAAUCGCAGAUCAGCAACGCUGCGGUGAAUACGUUCCCGGGGCU
This 1346-nucleotide ribosomal RNA is filed under the name uncultured bacterium. RNAcentral's name for it is "partial 16S ribosomal RNA". It matches the Rfam family "Bacterial small subunit ribosomal RNA", at positions 28 to 1381 of the family's 1533-position model. The record is from RNAcentral.